This 694-nucleotide ribosomal RNA is filed under the name uncultured archaeon. Its description in RNAcentral is "bacterial SSU rRNA". It matches the Rfam family "Archaeal small subunit ribosomal RNA", at positions 219 to 921 of the family's 1478-position model. The record is from RNAcentral.
GUCCGAUUAGUUGUGGCGGGUAACGGCCCACCAAGCCAUUGAUCGGUACGGGUUGUGGAGCAAGAUCCCGGAGAUGGAUUCUGAGACAUGAAUCCAGGCCCUACGGGGCGCAGCAGGCGCGCAAACUUUACAAUGCGAGCAAUCGUGAUAAGGAAACCCUGAGUGCCUGUCGAUGCAGGCUGUUCAUAUAUCUAAAUCAUAUGUGAAGAAAGGGCAGGGCAAGACCGGUGCCAGCCGCCGCGGUAAUACCGGCUGCUCGAGUGAUGGCCACUAUUACUGGGUUUAAAGCGUCCGUAGCUUGACUGUUAGGUCUCUUGGGAAAUCUUCGCGCUCAACGUGAAGGCGUCUAAGAGAUACCGGCAGUCUUGGAACUGGGAGAGGUAAACCGUACUUCGGGGGUAGGAGUGAAAUCUUGUAAUCCUCGAGGGACGACCUACGGCGAAGGCAGUUUACCAGAACAGCUUCGACAGUGAGGGACGAAAGCUGGGGGAGCAAACGGGAUUAGAUACCCCGGUAGUCCCAGCCGUAAACAAUGUGCGUUAGGUGUGUCGGUAACCACGUGUUACUGAUGCGCCGAAGGGAAAUCGUGAAACGCACCACCUGGGAAGUACGGUCGCAAGGCUGAAACUUAAAGGAAUUGGCGGGGGAGCACCACAACAGGUGGAGCCUGCGGUUUAAUUGGAUUCAACGCCGG